AACGCCGCGUGAGCGAUGAAGGCCUUCGGGUCGUAAAGCUCUGUGUUAGAGAAGAACAAGUACGAGAGUAACUGCUCGUACCUUGACGGUACCUAACCAGAAAGCCACGGCUAACUACGUGCCAGCAGCCGCGGUAAUACGUAGGUGGCAAGCGUUAUCCGGAAUUAUUGGGCGUAAAGCGCGCGCAGGCGGUCUCUUAAGUCUGAUGUGAAAGCCCACGGCUCAACCGUGGAGGGUCAUUGGAAACUGGGAGACUUGAGUGCAGGAGAGAAAAGUGGAAUUCCACGUGUAGCGGUGAAAUGCGUAGAGAUGUGGAGGAACACCAGUGGCGAAGGCGGCUUUUUGGCCUGUAACUGACGCUGAGGCGCGAAAGCGUGGGGAGCAAACAGGAUUAGAUACCCUGGUAGUCCACGCCGUAAACGAUGAGUGCUAGGUGUUGGGGGGUUCCACCCUCAGUGCUGAAGUUAACACAUUAAGCACUCCGCCUGGGGAGUACGACCGCAAGGUUG
RNAcentral lists this ribosomal RNA (509 nucleotides) under uncultured Bacillota bacterium. RNAcentral describes it as "bacterial SSU rRNA". It matches the Rfam family "Bacterial small subunit ribosomal RNA", at positions 393 to 896 of the family's 1533-position model. The record is from RNAcentral. Lineage: Bacteria; Bacillati; Bacillota.